RNAcentral lists this ribosomal RNA (466 nucleotides) under uncultured bacterium. RNAcentral's name for it is "partial 16S ribosomal RNA". It matches the Rfam family "Bacterial small subunit ribosomal RNA", at positions 28 to 507 of the family's 1533-position model. The record is from RNAcentral.
GAUGAACGCUGGCGGCGUGCUUAACACAUGCAAGUCGAACGAUGAAGCCCAGCUUGCUGGGUGGAUUAGUGGCGAACGGGUGAGUAACACGUGAGUAACCUGCCCUUAACUCUGGGAUAAGCCUGGGAAACUGGGUCUAAUACCGGAUAGGAGCGCCUACCGCAUGGUGGGUGUUGGAAAGAUUUAUCGGUUUUGGAUGGACUCGCGGCCUAACAGCUUGUUGGUGAGGUAAUGGCUCACCAAGGCGACGACGGGUAGCCGGCCUGAGAGGGUGACCGGCCACACUGGGACUGAGACACGGCCCAGACUCCUACGGGAGGCAGCAGUGGGGAAUAUUGCACAAUGGGCGAAAGCCUGAUGCAGCGACGCCGCGUGAGGGAUGACGGCCUUCGGGUUGUAAACCUCUUUCAGUAGGGAAGAAGCGAAAGUGACGGUACCUGCAGAAGAAGCACCGGCUAACUACGUG